UCUGAAUGACAGCCUCAAUCUGUACCUCAUCAUCUGGAGUAGAAGCUUCCUCUGACUCUCUACAGUGAUAAGAAGGUGGCUCAGCAGUUCGACGGUCCACUUCCGUCCUCUUCUGCUUUGUCCGUUCCUUUGCUGCUUUCGAAUCAGUAAAGUGCUUUUUCAUCAACUAUCGGAUCUCCUGUGGGCAUUUCCGACACAGGUACACAUCA
This 209-nucleotide long non-coding RNA is filed under the name Elaeis guineensis (African oil palm). Its description in RNAcentral is "long non-coding RNA (EGUI_LNC072292)". Lineage: Eukaryota; Viridiplantae; Streptophyta; Magnoliopsida; Arecales; Arecaceae. The record is from RNAcentral.